GCUGUCUUGUGCUAUGCUGUGCUGUAAUAAAUUUAUGCUUGUUGGUACUACUGUGUGGUAUGUGGGAGGUACUUCACUGCACAUAGUUGCUGCAGUGCUAAUAGUUGGCAGCACAGAAGGCAGUACAAAGAGUCCGACUGGAGGCACUUGCAGUUGCAGCGUUUCCUUGGAGGCUGUGGCAUGCUCAGUGAGCUGCAGGGGCACUCCUGGCACCUUCAGCCACUUGUGUGGAGAAGUGGGAGUUCCAGCAGGCUUUAACAAGCAGAUGCAGGCUACUAGCAGAGAUGUACGACAGCAUAGCUCAGGCUGGCUAAAAAAUAGUACUCAUGCUGUUAUGUAAACAAAACAAGAUCUUAGUAUCAAGAUGGCCGACCUGGAAGUCUACUUGUAGCUUGUGAUACUUAUGCAAAUGAGCUACAUGUCAGUGGCUUACUCACAGGAGGAAGCUCAUUUUGCACGUGACACCUUCUCACCAGGGUCAAGAUGGAUAACACAGAUGAGCGUCAGAAAAAAGUCUUUAAAGCACGAAAAACAAUGAGAGUAAGUGAUCGACAACAACUUGAAGCUGUCUAUAAGGUUAAAGAGGAGCUGUUGAAGACAACUGAAGUUAAACUGUUAAAUGGAAAGCAUGAGAAUGGAGAUUCUGAUUUAAAUUCCCCUUUAAGCAAUACAGACUGUAUGGAGGACAAGAGGGAAGUUAAUGGCAUAGUGGACUUAUGUGUUAAUUCUGAAGAAGGAAAAACAGCUUCUGAUGAAACUAGCGAAGCCAAAAGCCCUGAAAGUAGGGCAGGCAAUGUAGUCAGUGGCAUACAACCCAAACCUCUAGCACAGUCUCCAGAGAAUGUUACUCCUGAGCAAGGUAAAGAUACUGACACUGCUUUAGCUUGUGAGGCUGAAAAUGGAGUUCUUGGUAGCAAUAAAGAUGACUUCCAUGAAAAAAAUAAUACAAAAGAUCAUUUGGACCAAAGAGAGAGCGAUAUCCCAUUGGAAGGUGAAAGUAAAUCAGUCUGUGGUAUUAGUGACUCUUUGGAAAAUAAGGUAGAAACACAUGACUUAAGUAUUACUUCCAAUUCAUCUAGUGAGGAAAAGAGCACUGAAGAAGUAACUGUUGAAGAUGCUGUUGGAGAAGAAGCCAUCUCUAGCAGUAUGGAAGCUGACCAGGAAGCAAAGGACGCACAAGACGGCGCUACAGGUCUUCCAGAAACGACUGUUCAGAAAACAGCAGAUGAGCCAAGUGACAGUAUCUUGGACAAUACUGACUCUAUGGAAACAGAUGAAAUUAUUCCAAUUUUGGAAAAACUAGCCCCUGCUGAAGACGAACUGGGCUGUUUUUCUAAAAGUCCUCUGCUUCCAGCGGAUGAUGCAGUCACAGAUUUAGAAGAGAAAAUAGACAGCUGCUUAGGUUCACCAUCCAAGCAGGAAAGCAGUGAAAGUCUGCCAAAAGAGGCUUUCUUAGUAUUGUCUGAUGAAGAGGAUCCCUGUGAUGAGAAGGAGGAAUGUGCUGAAGCGAUACUACCAAAUAAGUCAAGUCUUCCAGAAGAGGUGGAAAAGGAGACAGGAAAGGAAAGUAAGGAAGAUAAAGAAGAGGAGGCCCACAAAGAAGAGGAGAAACACACUGAGAGAAGUGAAGUGUCAAGGAGAAAGCGUUCCAGAUCUGAGGACAUGGAUAGCAUUCAUUCUAAACGUCGUCGAUAUAUGACAGAAGAUUAUGAAGCAGAACUCCAAGUAAAAAUUACAGCCAGACAGGAUGUUGACCAAAAAUUACAAAAGGUUAUCCAGAGACUAUUAGAUGAAAAAUUUACUGCUUUACAGUGUGCUGUGUUUGACAAGACUCUGGCGGACCUGAAAACACGAAUAGAGAAAGUAGAAUGUAGCAAAAGGCAUAAAACGGUGCUUACUGAACUACAGGCUAAAAUUGCUAGAUUGACAAAGCGGUUUGGAGCAGCCAGGGAGGACUUGAAGAAAAGACAGGAAACUUCACCAAAUACACCUGUGUCUUCAGCAAAAACAGCAAGUGACACUGCAAACACAACCAAUGUGAUAUAUCGAAAUGCCAACACAGUGAGGCAGAUGCUGGAGACAAAGAGGAAUAUAGGAGAGAGCACACCAGCAACUUUUCAAGCCCCUGUGAAUGCAGUGCCAGCUUCCAGUCUUGCUGCUCCUCCAGCACUUGUCAGUGGACAUCCUAAGCCUCCAGUGACCUCUACCAGCAAUUUGACAACAACAGUUCUUCCCACAGCUAACACAGCUGCUGUUGUAGGCACCAACCAAGUGCCCAGUGGCAGCACUCAGUCAGUGUCUGUCUCGUUGCAGUCUUUGCCUGUAAUCUUGCAUGUACCUGUGGCGGUAUCAUCCCAGCCUCAGCUCCUGCAAGGCCACACAGGAACUUUGGUCACUAACCAGCAGUCAGGCAAUGUUGAGUUUAUAUCCGUACAAAGCUCUUCUACAGUUGGUAGCCUUACCAAAACUACAGUGUCUUUGGCAUCAACUAACCCAACUAAACCAAAUAACAGCCCAUCUAUGCCCAGUCCUAGUAUUCAAAGGAACUCUCCAGCCAGUGCUGGGUCAAUAGGCACAACAUUGGCAGUACAGGCUGUUUCUACUGCACAUCCUGUUGCCCAGGCCCCAAGGACUUUGCCCACAGUGGGUACUUCAGGACUUCAUAAUGCUACCAGCAGUCGAGCUCCCCUACAGAUGAAGAUUCCCCUUUCUGCAUUUAGUAGUACAGCUCCUGCUGAACCACCUGCCGUUACAGCGCCCAGAGUUGAAAACCAGACAAGCAGGCCACCAACAGAUACUUCGGCAAACAAGCGAACUGCUGAGGGAACACCACAGCUCUCAGAUCAAAAAGUAGUUCGCUGUAUGCCGUAUACUUGUGGCAUAUUUGAUGGUACAACUUUGAUCAAUUGUUUCGAAAAGCAGUUGAAACAGGAGGAGACUUCAUCAGAAAAUAAAGAAGCACAGACGAAUUUUAACUUCCCCGAGGAUGUCCUCUUUGGCUUGGAGGAAGAGGAAGAGGAUGCUAAGAGCAUAAAAAACACCCACAAGCAGACUGGCUGGGCAGCUAACCUAUUAAAACAAUGGCUGGCCAAAAAUGGCAAGGAUCCUAGCUUUGAAUUGGUCCCAGUAAAUGAACUCAAUGAUAUCUUAAGAGAGUUUUAUUACACAAUAAGAAAUCAUGAUGGAAAUACCUACAGUGUGGCAAGCUACAAGUCAAUGCGUGCCGGUUUAAACCGGCAUCUCAAAAUGCCACCUUACAAUCGUCAGAUUUGCUUAAUGAAGGACAAAGAGUUUGCUAGUGCAAACAUGGUAUUUGUGAGUGUGCUGAAGAUGCUGCGCAUGCAGGGAAAGGAUGAGACUCACCACCAUCCUCCUAUAGCUGCAGAGGACUUGCGUAAGAUUAAAGAAUCUGGUGUGCUGGGAUUGCACAGUCCACUGGCACUCGUCAACAAGGUGUGGUUUGAUUUGCAGUUGCAUUUUGCCAAACGAGGGAGGGAAAUUUUAAGAGAUCUGGCUCCAGAUGCUUUUGUUGUUGAGAAGGACAAGAAUGGGCGUCGAUAUGCUAUGUUCAGGUAUCCCAGCAAAGGAAAAAAUGGAGAAGAUCCUCAUAAAAUGGGUAAAAUGUAUGAUAUGCCAGGGGACCCAAACUGUCCUGUUUUUUCAUUGGAGCUUUAUUUGUCUAAGUUGCCUCCAGAGCCCCCUGCCUUUUACCUGCAUCCUUUAAAGUUAACAUCAGAGCAAAUGCAAGAACAGCCUGUCUGGUACAAAAGAGAACCAAUGGGUGUGAAUUACUUAGGUACCAUGAUGCCCAGGAUAAGUGUGGCAGCCAGGCUUUCUCAGCGAUACACCAAUCAUUCUCUCCGAACUACCACCAUCCAGCUACUGUGUGAAGCAGGACUGGGGCCUAGAGAAAUAAUGGCAGUGACAGGCCAUCGCUCUGAAUCUGCUAUUAGACACUACUGGGGAGCUGCGGAAGUUCGCUACAGGGCUUGGUCAGAUGUGAUGGAGAAUAAUGCCCCCAGUUACCUUUAUGGUAAGAUCCCAAAUGAAGUGAUAAAAGAGCCACUAUCUGGUGCAUCCACCUCUUCUAUAAACCAUGUUGUUCUAGAACAAAGCAAAAUUCUAUUUCCUAAGAAAUCUGUGGUGCCACCUGGUGCUACCUCUGUGACUUUAGUCCCAGAGGGCCACCCUGCUCUGAAUUCCAAAAGCCCCAUACUGUUGAACCACAGUUCUUCCAAAGUGUUUCUCUCCAAGAACACGGCCAGUGUGAACCUAACUGCUAGUCCCCUUCAAGGCUGUUGUAACAAACCUGUCUUUAUAAAGGGUGUGAUAAAACAAGAACCAAUGACUUGAUACUCCUGUAAUGGAACUGAUUUCAAGUGAAUUGCUGAAAUUGAAGAAUUAUUGGAUAUGGUUUUUCACUUGAUCUACUAAGGAAAUUUCUUACAGUCUAGUUCAGCAAGAAGUAUCCUGUUCGCACUCCUGAAGUGAGCUAUGGAACAGAAACUUAAACAGAGCAGGGCUUGGAGUUUGUAUGACUUUGUGGCAGCUGGGACUCGUAAGUGGCUAGGCAGAGUUAUUUAAAAAGAAAAAAAAAUGAGAUACUUAUUUCCACUUAGCUGAAGAGUAGUGCUUUCUUCACUAAGUGCAUGGCUUUUAUAUUUUGUGAAGAGUGUAUUUAUUACACACUUUUGUGUCUGCUGGCACUAAUGUAGCAUCUUACAAAUCAAAUACUUGAUUACUGAAGAAUACAGAGAAAGUAGAAGCCGAAUGAAAUGGAGAUACACUACAAAUACAUACAUAUGCAUGAAACCACCUCAAAUUGCUUGGCCACUGUCAAUCUCUCUGUUCAAAUUGUUAUUGGACCUACCAGAGGAUUGUGCUGCUUUUUUUUUUUUUUUUUUUUUAAUUCUUCUGAAUUGUUUUUUUUUCUGUGAGCUACGUAUUUGUAUUGAAGGUCUUUCUUUUCUUCUCAUACUUAAUAUUUCUGGCUAAGAUUGUGGUCAUUCUGUCCUCCAAAGACAGUACUUGAUACAAAUUGUAUCAAAAUUGGGAUCACUUCAGUUGUGCAUGAACUGGGGAAAAUGCUCACAAAAGAGCUGAGGACAGGCUUGUUCCUUAAAUGGCAAGUAAUGAGAGUUGAAGUGUUGUCUCUGUAUGUGCUUAUCUUGUGAGAGGUUUUUUGUAUUUCCUCUCACCCCUUGCAUUACAUUUCAUAUUGUCUUUGCAGUAUAGUCAGUAUAGUUUUUGUCAGUAUAGUAUAUAAUUAACAAAAAGCACAUCCUAUUCUUCUCCACCAAACCCUACCCAAAUAUUGUUGUUUUAACUUCUUUAGAUUAGAUCACUAUAAUAAAGUGAUACCAUUAAUAAAUUUUCCAUAGGUGAUUUUUACAGGUUAGAAAUUCUCAGGAUAGUGGACAUGAAUUUUGUCAGAGAAUUGGAAUUGUACUUUAAAAGGCUCUUUCAUGAAAGAUGAAAAUUAAAAACUAGGAGGGCUGGUCAUUGUUCAUUCUUAGUGAAUCACACUUGAGAAUCUAAUUCAUGGUUUGUCUCUACUAUUCUGUGCCCCUGCCUUUGCAGGGAGAUUGGACUAGAUGACCUUUGAAGGUCCCUUCCAACCCAAACUAUACCAUGAUUCUGUGCUAUUAUUUUGUUAGAGAUUCUGAUGAAUCAAGAGAUCUUUGAAAUGGAAAACCGGUUAUCAAAUCACAAAUUAUAUUAGGUCCACUUUGGAAGAAGACACAGUGUAGCAUUUAAAACUGUUUUCCAUUAACUAAAUGGAAUAAGAAUGGUUUUAUUCUUUUGAAAUUCUGUAUAUGUGUGUGUACACAAACACACCCACACUCAUAUCUUGUGACAGUAAAGACUUUACUGGAAGUGUCUUCAUUGCUCAGAGGUGGACAUAGGAGAGAAAAAUCCCAGCUGAAAUAUAAAAAUGAUAAGUUCUUAAUUCUUUGGAGAACUUCUUUACUGGGAAAGAGUUUCAAAUAUUGAACAAGAUUUAUUGCUUUGUUAUAGCCUGAACAGAGGACUUGAUGCCCGACCUUUGGAACCAGCACAGAGUGUUCCAUUUUUCUGAUGGAUCGUGUUAAAGGUUAAAAGGUUUUGAAAGUGCCAUAUAUUCAUCUCACAUACUGUGUUCACAACCACUUUAUUUGGUGGUCUUACAGUGAUUGAGCUGGUUGAUGAGAUAUAAUUGUUAAUAUAAAAAAUAAUUCUGCACAGUCCUACACGUCCUUAGUUGCAGCAUUAACUUACGACAUCAGUGAUGAGAGGAAAGAAAUCGUGGAUCCAGGAUUAUCAUUUUCUUAAGUCUGGAGUAAAUCAGAUUAAAAUAAUAAAGUAAUCAUUUAUAAUGGCUAGGAAGAAGAAAAAGAAGAAACAGUUCUCAAACUACAAGAGAACUGUGCAAACUUACUCUAUUCUUAUUUUUAUUAGAGCAACACAGAUUUUCAAAUCUUAGGGAUUCAUAGCAUUUGUAAUUCAGCCAGACUGGCAAAUUUAUUGUUUGAAGAGAUCUAGUCUAAAUUUUCACCAUGAUGGGUAUGUCUUAUUUAAAAACAAAAAUUUUAAAAAAUCCUGUUUUUGACUGGGGUAGUUGCUUGUUCCAGCCUACUGUGGUGAAAAUUUAUCCAGAAAAACAAGAGAAGUAUGUUGUAAGGAGAUGAUUCUUUUUUUGUUCCCUCUUGCUGCAUACUGUGGUCAUACUGACCACAUGCCCUGCUCUGGUCCUAACUGCAUCUAGGUAACUUACUGUAACAGCAUAUUGUUUCAUAUUUUCACACAAAUCUAGUUGGUAAUUUAAAUUGAAAAAGGGACUCUUUUGGCCAAUCUGGACAUGUCUCUGAUUCUGUUCAAUUAUCAUUUGGCUUCUAAUGUUAACUUCACUCUGUAGCUCAUAAUUGGGUAUUUCUGGUUUCUUACUGUUAAAUUGUAAUUCUGUUGGCACCAACUAUACAAUGUCCUCUCAGUACCUUCAGUUUGAACCUGAUACUUCAAAGCUACUAGAUGCAGUAUUACUAGCUUUUUAUUUUUGUAUGGGAGAGCAUUCCUAGUCUGGGCUGAAAGUGUUGCUUCACAAGAGCUGGGGUCAGUAUUAACUAAAUUUUCUGUUAAUAUUUGAAUUAAUUCUAACCUUCCCCAACUGAAAUUUUUUUCUCCUGUUCCCCUUCCUACCCAAAGUGUUAAAUGAAUCUUUCCUACGUGUUUUUGCUUUCUAGAAAAACUGAAGUAGGCAAACAGGGUGAUGUUUUCCUGCUUUUGCAACUUUGGCUGUGUGUACGGUAAUAUGGGAGCACAGUGUCUUCUUCCCCCCCCCCCCCUUUUUUUUUUAAAAUUGUGAGAUAACAUUUCAGUUUAAUCCUGUUCAUUGCAGUACAGUUUAUGCUGUGUGGACAUCAUGGAUUUGAAUUGCACUCCUCAGUACAGUAUCAGCAGUGAACCUCAAACAGCAAGAUUUCUGUUUUUUAAAAACAGAUUAAGAACAGUUUGUCUAAACUUAAAUUUAGACUUUGGCUGUAAACUUAAUACAAAAUUGUUAAUAAUAAUUUGAAAUUAACUUUAAAAAUCCGAGUAUAACAUAUACAGUUUGAAAGAAAUUUAUCAGCUGUCACUCUCGAAUUUUAUAAUUAGAUCUUUUCAUAAAAAUAGGAGUAUUUCAACUGGGGAAAAAAAAAAAAAACAGCACUUAGCCUUAACUAAGGCAACUAAACUAAUUUUUUAAAUAAUCGCUGCCAUGUCAUUGAUUAAGUUCCAUUUACAUUGAUGGAGAUGACUGUGAAAACAGUAGAGAAUGACUGGAAGUUUAUAUAAUAUAACCAUAUAUUUAGGUUUGCAUCUCCUUUUCAUAAUGAAGCUUUGGUCCUGGUUCUGUGAAUCUAGAACUUGUGUUUUCUGUGCUUUUUCCUGUUAAAUUUGAAAUCUCUGCUGUUACUUCAAGGAGUACCCUAAUUACUUUCUAUUUUUAUGAAGUUGGCACAGUACCUUACAUUACAUCUUACAGUAUGUUAAUUUUUGUAUUGUUUUACUGCUAUUUAAGUAAUUAAUCCCCACUGUAAGGUACUGUGAUCGGCAGCAUGGGAGAUCUAGAAGGUAAAUGUUAUUCACUCUAUGCACCUUCUCUGUGUCCCCAGAAGAGCUCUGUUGUGCACAGUGUCAAGUACCUGGUGGUAUUGGAAGGAUGCUUUGAAAUUGAACGUGUUCUUGGCUUUGUUGUGGUUUUAGUCUGGUGCAUCUCUUUGGUUAUCCUGAACUAUAUAGCUUCUCAAUAGUUGCAUACUGUUUAGGUCAGAAAGUUUUCAGUAAGCAGCUUGGGCAUAUGAUUUUGCUGUAUGACUGCUUCUCUUUUUUCAGCCUUCCUCUCUUUCUUGUUUCAAAAGGAAUGCCCACAGGGAUAUGGGAGGGGGCAUCUUACUGUGUUUGUCUCUCAACUGAAGCUUUUUCUUGUGUACACAGAAACUAAAGGGUUGUUACUCAGUCCUGGUAAUUUUACCAAUGGCCAUUCCAGUGCCUCAGAUCCUAGAAUUGCAUUUCUGAAAACAUGACAAGCACUUUUAAUGUUUUGGCGUGAAUGUUAUUGUUACAGAGGCAAAGGCAUUUUUAAUUAUAUACCAGAUCUUCAGAGUGGUUUCAAAGUAUUUUAUUAUGAAUCCCAGUUAUAGAUACAGGAUUUAUAUAUAUUAUAUAUAAUAUAUAAAUAUAGGUAUGGUGUACUGAGAGAAUUUAUAAAAGGAGCUUUUAUUAUGUUGUGACAUAAAAUAACAGUGAACAAAUUUGAAUGUGGUUGGAUGUGUUAAAAAUGGCUGGCAUAAAGUCAGUCUGUUCAAGAUUGAUUAUGUUAUAUUUAUUAAAAUACCAGGUCAGGUGAAUAAUCAUUUCUUCCCUGCUCCAGGUGCACCUUAUCCUCUUACGGAGCAAAUCUUUCAGUGUAAAUUUCAUCUUUUCAGUUUAUAUUAGUUUAACAAAACACAUCAGUGUCCUAUCCAUUUCCCAUUGUUUCUGAGAUACCUUGAUUUGUUUGAUUGAACUACAGUCUAAUUUAAGCUUUUCCACUGACUAUUGGAAACUCAUCUGGUAAAUGUUAAUAAAGUACAUUUAUAACUCCUAUCCCUUUACUUUGCAAUGUGUAACAAACUUUGUGAAUGUCAGUUGGGAAAAAAUAUGAACAAAGUGGGUAUGUCAGCUUACAAUUUAUAAGCAGCUAUUUAUUCUAUAUUGUUGAAGCAUUACUGAUUAAUAUGUUUCUUGCAUUUCAUGGUUUUUGUCACUGAAAAUAAACAUACAUAAUUAUAUAUGUAAAA
Pezoporus occidentalis (night parrot) is the source of this 9299-nucleotide RNA transcript. It is a transcript of the gene named activating transcription factor 7 interacting protein, with no coding region annotated. The transcript is spliced from 12 exons. Lineage: Eukaryota; Metazoa; Chordata; Aves; Psittaciformes; Psittacidae. The record is from RefSeq and is a predicted model, not a curated record.